ACUUAAAUAAUAUAAAAAUAAUUAUAUUUAAUUUCCAAUUAAAAAAUCUAAAACCUAGUUUAAGUA
RNAcentral lists this transfer RNA (66 nucleotides) under Scolytinae sp. BMNH 1040331. Its description in RNAcentral is "tRNA-Gly". Lineage: Eukaryota; Metazoa; Arthropoda; Insecta; Coleoptera; Curculionidae. The record is from RNAcentral.